UCACUUCUCACCUUUUCUCUCCUGGCCACCAGAGAGCUUGCAGCAAGCCUGAGAGUCUCUCCUUCAUGGCUCCUCAGCAUGACCGUCCUUGAGCAAUGAGCCAGUCUACCCUCUUCCAAGGCUGUGCUUUCCUGCCAGUGGGCUCUGAGUUUUCCAAGAU
This is a long non-coding RNA of Cavia porcellus (domestic guinea pig), 160 nucleotides long. It matches the Rfam family "Smith-Magenis syndrome chromosome region, candidate 2 conserved region 1". The record is from Rfam. Lineage: Eukaryota; Metazoa; Chordata; Mammalia; Rodentia; Caviidae.